GCUUCCGUAGCUCAGUUGGUUAGAGCAUCGUACUAAUACUUCCAUUCCCAGUGUUGGUGAUGCGAGGGUCGCAGGUUCAAGCCCUGCCGGGAGCA
This 95-nucleotide transfer RNA is filed under the name Dactylonectria estremocensis. Its description in RNAcentral is "Ilyonectria sp. 3 AC-2011 tRNA". It matches the Rfam family "tRNA". From Rfam's summary of the family: Transfer RNA (tRNA) molecules are approximately 80 nucleotides in length. Their secondary structure includes four short double-helical elements and three loops (D, anti-codon, and T loops). The record is from Rfam by way of RNAcentral. Lineage: Eukaryota; Fungi; Ascomycota; Sordariomycetes; Hypocreales; Nectriaceae.